CUGACAAGCUCUGCCCAUCGGCUCCAGGUGGCGCUCGCCCAGGUCCAUUCUAAGACACCGUGGGAGCAGCUCAGGACCUUGGGUAUUGCCACUGGGCUCACCUCCUGCUCCCAGUGCUUCCUCCUGCCAUCAGGUGGGUCCAGUCACACCUGGAGAGCUACAAGAAGCAGGAGUGCAGUGAGCUUUCUCUCCCUCAUCUUGUGACCUGAGCAUGCCUGCUGCACUCCUGGCUCGACACCCCUGGACCAGGUUCUUCAGUUACAGUGACCUCAUCUGCAACUGUGACCCCUCGAUUUCCCCUGGUGACAUCCUGGAUCCGCAUAUAUCCGUUUAUAAGGUCCUGCUUGGUAAUGCCCCCUCUCCUAACAAUAAAGUCUAUUUAAACCCUGAGCAAAAAUCCCUAUCCGCUCUGCCCUCCUCUGUGUUGACCGCAUUCUCAGAAGGCAGGUCCUCUCACGACGUCAAGAUGAACACUUACACCUCCCAGCUUCUGUCCUCACGGUGCUGCCAGGGGAAAUUCUUUUCCCCUUGUGGUUCCGACAAGUUUGCAUGAGGAAGCUCAUUGGACUGUUUGGAUCACAUGCUCAAGCCUGAACCAAUCACUGUGGCCAAGAGGAGGUAAUGCUGACUGGCCAGACCUGGGUCACAUGACUCCCCGGCCCGCUGCGAACCAGAGGAACCACCUGAAGCGGCUGCGCCCAGUCACCCGGGCUGAAGGUGGCGGAGCUGGGUUGCUCGUGGCUUUGCUUCAAGAAGCAGAGGCAGCAACCAGCCCCUCUGUUUCUUUUCAUCUUGUUUCAGCCACAAGGAAAUGAAUUCUGCCAACAAUCUGAGGGAGCUUGGAAGGUGAUCCUCCCCAAACUGGGCCUCCAGAUGAGAACCCAGCCCAGUUUCCCCCUUGAUUGAGCCUUGUUGAGACCCUGAGCUGAGAACCAGCUAAGCACUGCCUGGAGUUUCGGCCAAUGAAAAUGGGAACUGGAUUUGGAGGAUCAGCCAGAUUUAAACUAAGGCAGGUCACCUUUUGGGGAGAAGCAACUCCAUCUGGGAUAAAUCCAUCUUGUAAAAUUGUAACACUCUGGGAGCUGCAUUUCCUCUGCGAAGAGAGGUACCACAGACAGUGUGGCAGUGGAGUCCACCACCACAGAAGAAGUCUGACGACCUUGAGGUCACCAUGCCGCAGAAGCCACGUGGAGGCGCUCUGGGCCAAAGUUCCAGCAGUGUCCAGCCUUCCAGCCAUCCCUGCCAAGGCACCGGCCACAUGUGUGGAGCCAUACUUGACCCUCUAGAUCAGCCAUCUGCCAGCUGAAUGUCAUUGAAUGACCUCACCUGACACCAUAUGGAACAGAAGAAUCACCCAGUCGAGCCCUGCCUGAAUUCCUGACCCCUGGAAU
Long non-coding RNA from Camelus dromedarius (Arabian camel), 1391 nucleotides. RefSeq lists it as uncharacterized. Lineage: Eukaryota; Metazoa; Chordata; Mammalia; Artiodactyla; Camelidae. The record is from RefSeq and is a predicted model, not a curated record. The transcript is spliced from 3 exons.